Molecule: ribosomal RNA, 165 nt
Filed under: uncultured bacterium
Lineage: Bacteria
Description: partial 16S ribosomal RNA
Rfam family: Bacterial small subunit ribosomal RNA
Source: RNAcentral
CAGCAGUGGGGAAUUUUGGACAAUGGGGGCAAGCCUGAUCCAGCAAUGCCGCGUGAGUGAAGAAGGCCUUCGGGUUGUAAAGCUCUUUUGUCAGGGAAGAAACACCGGCUCUAACACAGUCCGGGAAUGACGGUACCUGAAGAAUAAGCACCGGCUAACUACGUG